CCGGUAACUACUUUUUCAGCGCCUGAUCUGAAUCAGGAAAAAAAGAACAUUUGCAAGUGUCAUGUAAAUUUUGUGCAAAUUAAACCCGCCCUGCGUGAAACAGCAAGUCCUUCCUUGUCUUCUUAUUCGUUAUGAUUCGUCGACUGAAUGAUUCAAAAACUUGUAGCCUACCGCUUACGACCAGAUAAUCCACAUAAAAUAUCGAUAUAUAUCAUAUCUUGUUAGAUCGCAUAAGUAGCUAAAAAGAAAUUUGCAUCUAAAGCCUUGGAGGCCCAAACCACAUUUCAGCAGGACCAUCUCACUCCGCCCCUCGGUCAACAUUAGACCUGCUCUAAAGUGCGGCAGGUGCGUGGAGAGAUCAGCACCUUUACAGCUGCGGGAAGAGGACAGGGGGCAUGAUUUUUGUCGACUAUAAAAACCCGUCACUGGCCAAGCUGAUUCACAGCACCUGCAGGUACGGAAACGAGCGUGUCGAUUGAGGCCUUCCACAGCACAGAGCAACCUGGAUGUGAAACUACAGAUGUGAGCAAGACAGGUUAUGGGCAGGGAACACAGCUGAAAAAUUAGAUGAAUGAAAAGCUACGGAUUCACAUUUUUGACAGUAUUUUCUACAGUAACUUUGGAGUUUAUCACAACGCACCCCCAGAAUUUCGAUGGAUAAACUGCACUUGCUUUACGUUGAGCCACACGCACAAUACAUGUGGGUUCAGUUUUGUUCGUUCGGCUCGCGUUAAGCAAGUGCAGAACUUCUUCAGUGCCAAACUUCUGGGACAUUUUUGGAUUAGAAGCAAGAGUAACUGCUGUGCUCUUUUUUUUUUUUUUUUUUUUUUUUUUGGAAUUGUUUUUUAAAUGGAAAAAAAUGUAUCUCAAAAUGAAUGAGCCACAACUGAUCAUUUGUCUUCUGCAAUGGUCAUGAUUUACAGUGUCAUCCGUUAUCCAACAUCAUGUUUGUUGAGUUAUCCACUUCCUCUCUCCUGUGCUGUUUAUAAAUGAGGGUGAAGUUCUCAUGCUGCAGUGAUGUAAUGGCAAAAUAAAGUUCUUCGUAACUCCUCA
Cyprinus carpio (common carp) is the source of this 1053-nucleotide long non-coding RNA. RefSeq lists it as uncharacterized. The record is from RefSeq and is a predicted model, not a curated record. NCBI's taxonomy places the organism in Eukaryota, Metazoa, Chordata, Actinopteri, Cypriniformes, Cyprinidae.